ACGCUGACAGAAUGCUUAACACAUGCAAGUCUUUGGCGAAGCUGUGCUUGCACAGCCUAGCCAAGGCGGACGGGUGAGUAACGCGUAAGGAACUUGCCCUGCAGUCAGGGAUAACAGACGGAAACGACUGAUAAGACCUGGUAAAGUCAGGCGGACUCAUGUCCAGCCUGAUGAAAAGAGAUGCUGCAGGAGAGCCUUGCGUCCUAUUAGCUUGUUGGUGGGGUAACGGCCCACCAAGGCGAUGAUAGGUAGCCGGCCUGAGAGGGUGGACGGCCACAAGGGGACUGAGAUACGGCCCUUACUCCUACGGGAGGCAGCAGUGGGGAAUAUUGGACAAUGGGGGCAACCCUGAUCCAGCAAUUCUGUGUGCACGAUGAAGGUUUUCGGAUUGUAAAGUGCUUUCAGCAGGGAAGAAAAAAAUGACGGUACCUGCAGAAGAAGCGACGGCCAAAUACGUGCCAGCAGCCGCGGUAAUACGUAUGUCGCAAGCGUUAUCCGGAAUUAUUGGGCAUAAAGGGCAUCUAGGCGGCCAGAUAAGUCUGGGGUGAAAACUUGCGGCUCAACCGCAAGCCUGCUCUGGAAACUAUGUGGCUAGAGUACUGGAGAGGUGGACGGAACUGCACGAGUAGAGGUGAAAUUCGUAGAUAUGUGCAGGAAUGCCGAUGAUGAAGAUAGUUCACUGGACGGUAACUGACGCUGAAGUGCGAAAGCUAGGGGAGCAAACAGGAUUAGAUACCCUGGUAGUCCUAGCUGUAAACGAUGAUUACUGGGUGUGGGCAUGAAGAGUGUCCGUGCCGAAGCUAAUGCGAUAAGUAAUCCGCCUGGGGAGUACGGCCGCAAGGCUGAAACUCAAAGGAAUUGACGGGGACCCGCACAAGCGGUGGAGCAUGUGGUUUAAUUCGACGC
RNAcentral lists this ribosomal RNA (906 nucleotides) under uncultured bacterium. Its description in RNAcentral is "bacterial SSU rRNA". It matches the Rfam family "Bacterial small subunit ribosomal RNA", at positions 33 to 957 of the family's 1533-position model. The record is from RNAcentral.